This 543-nucleotide ribosomal RNA is filed under the name uncultured Thelebolales. RNAcentral describes it as "eukaryotic LSU rRNA". The stretch from base 180 to 333 matches the Rfam family "5.8S ribosomal RNA". Lineage: Eukaryota; Fungi; Ascomycota; Leotiomycetes; Thelebolales. The record is from RNAcentral.
GACUGCGGAGGAUCAUUAAGAGACGUUGCCCUUCGGGGUAUACCUCCCACCCAUUGUUUAUUAUACCUUUGUUGCUUUGGCAGACCCGGCUUCGGCCCACCGGCUCCGGCUGGUCAGUGUCUGCCAGAGGACCUAAAACUCUGUUUGUUAAUAUUGUCUGAGUACUAUAUAAUAGUUAAAACUUUCAACAACGGAUCUCUUGGUUCUGGCAUCGAUGAAGAACGCAGCGAAAUGCGAUAAGUAGUGUGAAUUGCAGAAUUCAGUGAAUCAUCGAAUCUUUGAACGCACAUUGCGCCCUCUGGUAUUCCGGGGGGCAUGCCUGUUCGAGCGUCAUUACAACCCUCAAGCUUUGCUUGGUAUUGGACAUUGCCAGUUUCUGGCAGGUCUUAAAAUCAGUGGCGGUGCCAUUUGGCUUCAAGCGUAGUAAUUCUUCUCGCUUUGGAGAUCCAAGUGGUUACUUGCCAAUAACCCCCAAUUUUUUCAGGUUGACCUCGGAUCAGGUAGGGAUACCCGCUGAACUUAAGCAUAUCAAUAAGCGGAGGA